RNAcentral lists this ribosomal RNA (460 nucleotides) under uncultured bacterium. Its description in RNAcentral is "partial 16S ribosomal RNA". It matches the Rfam family "Bacterial small subunit ribosomal RNA", at positions 338 to 795 of the family's 1533-position model. The record is from RNAcentral.
CCUACGGGUGGCAGCAGUGAGGAAUAUUGGUCAAUGGACGAGAGUCUGAACCAGCCAAGUAGCGUGAAGGAUGACUGCCCUAUGGGUUGUAAACUUCUUUUAUAAAGGAAUAAAACGAGGCACGUGUGCCUUUUUGCAUGUACUUUAUGAAUAAGGAUCGGCUAACUCCGUGCCAGCAGCCGCGGUAAUACGGAGGAUCCGCGCGUUAUCCGGAUUUAUUGGGUUUAAAGGGAGCGUAGAUGGGUUGUUAAGUCAGUUGUGAAAGGUUGCGGCUCAACCGUAAAAUUGCAAUUGAUACUGGCAGUCUUGAGUACAGUUGAGGUAGGCGGAAUUCGUGGUGUAGCGGUGAAAUGCUUAGAUAUCACGAAGAACCCCGAUUGCGAAGGCAGCUUACUAAACUGUGACUGACAUUGAUGCUCGAAAGUGUGGGUAUCAAACAGGAUUAGAUACCCUAGUAGUC